Molecule: small nuclear RNA, 131 nt
Organism: Hemiscyllium ocellatum (epaulette shark)
Lineage: Eukaryota; Metazoa; Chordata; Chondrichthyes; Orectolobiformes; Hemiscylliidae
Source: RefSeq, a predicted model, not a curated record
GUGUUGUAUGAAAGGACAGAAGGUUAGCAUCAUCCCCUUGAAAAGGAUGGAAGGGGUCCUCGUGGCCUCACACAACACACAAAUGAUUAAGAUAUUGCCAUCUACUUGGUGGCAUCUAACCAUAUUUUUUG